GUGGCCGUAGCUCAGUAGGUAGAGCAUCGGAUUGUGGCUCCGAAGGUCGCGGGUUCGAGUCCCGUCGGUCACCCUA
Molecule: transfer RNA, 76 nt
Filed under: uncultured Rubrobacteraceae bacterium
Lineage: Bacteria; Bacillati; Actinomycetota; Rubrobacteria; Rubrobacterales; Rubrobacteraceae
Description: tRNA-His-GTG
Rfam family: tRNA
About the family: Transfer RNA (tRNA) molecules are approximately 80 nucleotides in length. Their secondary structure includes four short double-helical elements and three loops (D, anti-codon, and T loops).
Source: RNAcentral